RNAcentral lists this ribosomal RNA (402 nucleotides) under bacterium. Its description in RNAcentral is "partial 16S ribosomal RNA". It matches the Rfam family "Bacterial small subunit ribosomal RNA", at positions 355 to 776 of the family's 1533-position model. The record is from RNAcentral. RNAcentral also lists the same sequence under 1 other name.
UGGGGAAUUUUGCACAAUGGGGGAAACCCUGAUGCAGCGACGCCGCGUGAUUUAGAAGGCCUUCGGGUUGUAAAAAUCUUUUCUAUGGGAAGAAAAUGACAGUACCAUAGGAAUAAGGACCGGCUAAUUACGUGCCAGCAGCCGCGGUAAUACGUAAGGUCCGAGCGCUGUCCGGAAUCAUUGGGCGUAAAGGGUACGUAGGCGGGUAAGCAAGUUAGAAGUGAAAUCCUAUAGCUCAACUAUAGUAAGCUUUUAAAACUGCUCAUCUUGAGGUAUGGAAGGGAAAGUGGAAUUCCUAGUGUAGCGGUGAAAUGCGCAGAUAUUAGGAGGAAUACCGGUGGCGAAGGCGACUUUCUGGCCAUAACCUGACGCUGAGGUACGAAAGCGUGGGUAGCAAACAGG